This is a non-coding RNA of Pelobates cultripes (western spadefoot toad), 213 nucleotides long. The record is from the annotation of a GenBank genome assembly. Lineage: Eukaryota; Metazoa; Chordata; Amphibia; Anura; Pelobatidae.
GUUUUGUUCUGAGAUGCCUUAGGUGGUGUGGAUACAGGUGAAAUGGGACACCCUGUAAAGCCAAGCUAUCCCUGAUAAGUGGUGUCAUGUGGCAGGACCUAAUGACCUGUCAUUUGUACGUCUAUUUGGUCCACAUCACCCGCUGUAAUGCCUGUGAGUUUGCAGGUGAUUUAAUUCCUGUAUGUGCUGGAUUGCUAUAUUCUAUGGCACCUG